Pezoporus occidentalis (night parrot) is the source of this 2900-nucleotide long non-coding RNA. RefSeq lists it as uncharacterized. The transcript has 2 exons. Lineage: Eukaryota; Metazoa; Chordata; Aves; Psittaciformes; Psittacidae. The record is from RefSeq and is a predicted model, not a curated record.
UGAUUCAUUGUCUUGGUAUUUGGAGAAUAAUGCAACUAUCAGCAGUUGCUAACCAUGUUAAGUAUGUUUGGAUGUAGUGAGUUGUGUUGUCUUCCUCUGAUUGCCCAGGUAACCAUUAAUUUAUGUUCUGACAACUGCUAGAACAUUAGUAUGUAAAUGCACUUUCGAAUUUCUGGAAGUUUAUGUGGAUCCAGGCUGACAAGGCCAGGUUUGGUGCAGUACUCUGUCCUAGAAGUCAAAGCUUGUCCGGGCUUCAAGCACACCAGUGACUUCUGCACUCAUAUUUGUGAUUCUCUGUCCGUGCUUCAUCAAAAUGCCCGCAAUGGUCCCAUAUUCUCAAAUGGCAUGUGCACCAUCAUUACUCCUGGCAAGAGAUCUAGCCCAGCCUGUGCGUAGCUCUCUACUAGCUGAUACAGGAAGUGGACAUGAAAGAAGCAGAUAUGAAAGGCUGUGGAUGCCCCAUCCACAGUAGGCUUGUCUGGGCUAUCUGAGUUGAUGCAGAGACAAGAUUAGGCAGUGUAGAUCUUUUCCCCUUUGACUUACUAACUUUGGUGUAAAGUAUAUGCAGACAUUAACUUGUGUGUAUGCCCUCUCACACGCUGUAAAUUAACUGAGAAAUUAAUGAGGUGAUGCACUUAUGAGUAAGAAGUGAACUGAAGAAAAAAUGACACUUUGUGUUGAAAGGCAUGGAUAAGGAUAAAACCCAGAUAUGAGAAAGAGCAACAUUGUAUAACUGAUUUGAAGAGGAGCGUGUGUCAUUAAAUCCUUGAACAAUAUUAUUUAGGGAAUAAUGUUUUGCAUACAUGUUUGAAGUGGACAUUUUUUAAAGUUUCACAGUUUCCAACUUUGGAUGGAGGAUGCACAGUAGUAAUUUUAAAAAUGCUAAAUGAUAAGAAUCACACUCAGAAAUUCUUACUGAAAUUACUCAUUGCCCUGGAAUUAAAAUGGAAAUAACAAACGUAUCUUUCAUCACUCAUUUUGAAUAUUUAUUCUUUGUAUUUCACUUACUCUAAACAAUUUUUUUAUCUCUAGGGUGAGAUCCUGACUAAUCCUUCACUGUGCUAAUUUUGCUGGGACAACACGUAAGUGGCUGAUGAUUCCAAAUAUGAACAAGGACAGCAGGCUUGGGCUUGUGCUAAUUUUGAUGAGUAAAUUGGCCUCAAGAAUGACAAGUCGUGUUAGCACUUUUUACUUUAUAACAUUAGACAGUGGAAGAUGUUAACUCUGUGCAGUGAAUCGGCAUUAGGCAGUCCUUGGGACUACUUACAGGGAACUCUCAGGUGCCUGGUCUCCACAGAAACUCACUCUUAAAAACCAUUCUCUGGUUUUGUUUUAGUAAAAGAAUGGCGUGAUUGAAAAGCAAAGUGUUGAGAGGAAUUUCACUCACAGCAAAAUGUCUUUCUUUCAUUUUACCCACUGAGUUUUUAAUAAGGAUAUUCCUUUGCCAGUUCCUUUGAAUUUUCUUGGUUCUUAGUUGGUGCUAAUGAUGCAGUAAUAGUCCUGUGUGUAUGUGGUGGGGGGAAAGAAAACAGUAUCCCACCGGUAUGAGAUUUUUUGUAGUUGUCUUUUGUGGUCUUACAACAGUGUUACAAAAGGUGGACUCUCAAUUGAUUUCUUGUCUUCUAUUUCUUUUAUUCAUAAAUUUAUUUUGCCUUUGUGGUGUGUGUGUGGGGCAACGUAUUGUCAGGAAACAGCCACAAGGGAAGAGAUGGAUAUUAGAAAUUUAGUUCUAACAUUCUAACUAUAGUCCCUCGUAGUAUUAGUUGGUUGCUUCUCUGUCUUGAUCUGUUCAGGGCUGUUUCUGGAUGAGAGGCUUUCAGUUCUUCCUGUGGAUUGUGAGGUUCUAAGAAGGUGGGUGAUAACAGCCAAAAUGGGAUAGCUGUUACUGUCAGUUUUUAUUGCAUUAGCCUUAUGAAAUUUGUUACUUCUGAUUAAUUCACUGAAUUAGAGAGUCCUGAAAUGGAAUAAUAAAAAGAAUGUCACAUUUUCUUGCCAGUUUGCUGAUUUUUCUGUACAAUUUUUUUUUUUUUAUAUUAUGUAUUUCUCACCUAGUAAGUGUAGACAUUGUUUGAAUCCAGAGAAGCUGUGGCUGCCCCAUCCCUGGAAGUAUUCAGGGCUAGGUUGGAUGGGUCUUUGAGCAAUCUGGUCUAGUGGAAGGUGUCCCUGGCCAUGGCAAGGGGAUUAGAACUAGGUGAUCUUUAAGGUCUCUUCCAACCCAAACCAUUCUAUGGGUCUAAUCUUAUCUUCAUCCUUUGCUUUUGUAUGUUAGGCUGGUUGGUCUUUUGUAACUUAGGGCUCAUACGUUAAGUUAUCCCAUUUAACAAGUCCUUGUUUUGUAUUUGUUUUAGCUCCUUGGCUUUUGAACAGUCCUCCUAACAGGACUGCUAUGGAAAACUUAAAAUGUUUUACUGCUGUUUAAAGUUUUUUAUUCAUGUUUGGAUGGAUCUAGGUGCUAGGUUUAAAUCUGCAGGUUAACAAAUAAGACCUUGCUUGACCCAUGACAUUUCCUGCAUGAAUUUUUUGAUAAAAAAUACUAAACUUUUUUCAUUUUUGUCUUAAAUUUCCAGGAAAAGCUACAUGCUUUAGCAGAAUUCCAGAGACUGGAUGGCUUUGUCUGAAAACUGAAACUUACUGUUUUGAAAGCUCUGACAUUAUAACUUGGAUGCCUGCUGGUCCUAUUCUGCAAGGCUGAAGCUGCCUGCCACCUUUGACACUGUGCCAUGAUCUUUCCUCUUUGAAGGGAGCGCUGGAAGUAGGGAAUACCUCAAAGUUAUCUGUUAUUGGAGUUGUCACUUAUAUGGAAGUGAGAAGCAAGUUGAGUUUCCAAAUCUGCCCACUCCAGAAACUGGAAGAAUUGUGAGAAGUAAUUGGGUGUGAAAUAAAUAUGUGUUCACAAGUAA